AAUAUCACUAUUAGCGAACCGCAAGGUUCACUUUCUGGACUUAAGCCGCCCCUCGCGGGAGGCGAUCCGAGUCGAAGACACCGUCAGAUUGGGGCGGCAAAUCUUUCAAAUGAUAACGCAGGUGUCCUAAGGUGAGCUCGAUGAGAACAGAAAUCGCAUGUACAACAAACACUUGAACAAAGGGUAAAAGCUCACUUGAUUUUGAUUUUCAGAAUGAAUACAAACCGUGAAAGCGUGGCCUUUCAAUCUGCUUGAGUUUUAAGCAAGAGGUAUCAGAAAAGUUACUACAAGUAUAACUGGCUUGUGCCAGCCAAGCGUUCACAUCGCUUUUUGAUCCUUCGAUGUCGGCUUUUCCUAUCACUGCGCAGCAGAAUUCCCCAAGUGAUGGAUUGUUCACCCACCAAUAGGGAACUUCAGCUGGGGUUUGACCGUCGUGAGACAGGUUAGUUUAUUUACCCUACUGAUAAAGUGUUUCUGGUCAAAACGACAGGAACCCCAGAUUCAGACAAUUGGUAAUUAUACUUGGCUGAAAAGCCAAUGGUACGAAGCUACCAUUUCGUGGAUUAUGACUAAACGCAUAUCAAUGACAUCACAAUCAAUCCAGGUUCCUGUAACCCACCGGAAGUGAAAUUUCACGUUUUAGCGACUGACAUUAAAACACGGGGAAGAAAAAUCGCAAUCGAAAUCUUUUUUUUUUUUUUUUCUCCUACACUCAUUAGCACAUUGU
RNAcentral lists this ribosomal RNA (727 nucleotides) under coral metagenome. Its description in RNAcentral is "eukaryotic LSU rRNA". It matches the Rfam family "Eukaryotic large subunit ribosomal RNA", at positions 2537 to 3289 of the family's 3401-position model. The record is from RNAcentral.